ACUCCUACGGGAGGCAGCAGUGGGGAAUAUUGCACAAUGGGCGCAAGCCUGAUGCAGCCAUGCCGCGUGUGUGAAGAAGGCCUUCGGGUUGUAAAGCACUUUCAGUGGGGGGGAAAGGUUGUUGGUUAAUACCUAACAGCUGUGACGUACCCACAGAAGAAGCACCGGCUAACUCCGUGCCAGCAGCCGCGGUAAUACGGAGGGUGCAAGCGUUAAUCGGAAUUACUGGGCGUAAAGCGUGCGCAGGCGGUCUGUUAAGC
This 260-nucleotide ribosomal RNA is filed under the name uncultured bacterium. RNAcentral's name for it is "partial 16S ribosomal RNA". It matches the Rfam family "Bacterial small subunit ribosomal RNA", at positions 335 to 588 of the family's 1533-position model. The record is from RNAcentral.